UUUCAAAUUGGCAGCCUCAAAUUCUACAGCAUCAUUUUUCACAAAUCUCAAAUUUCUAAUUUCAAGCCUCCCUCUCAAGUCAUUUAGCCUAUUCAGCUCAUUCAAGCUACCAAAAUGUUUAAGCACAGAACUAUCUUUGGCCACUACAAACCAUGUUAAUGUCUGAAGGGAAGUUAAUUGCCCAAUCCCAUUUGGCAUAUGAGUCAAACUCCAACAUCCCUCACAAUCAAGAUGCCUAAGAUUAACCAGCCUUCUAAUUUCUUUUGGCAAUUCCUCAAGGCUUUUACAACCAGAGAGCUUGAGCACUUGCAAAUUUUGAAGCUUGGUAGUAGCAUCUGGAAGUGCCUUGAGUUCACUAUUUUCUGACAUAUCAAGAUACCUUAGGUGUUUUAACUUUUUAAUGGAAGACGAUACUUUCUCAAUCCCUAAAUUAUGUAGAUCAAACACACGCAAACACCUAGGGUUUGAAAAAAUAGCUUCAUGACUAGACUUAUCCCAUCUUCCACGAGCACCUGAACUAGACACUUGACUUGGCAGAAGAAAUGUUCGCAACCGUUUUGCAUUAAGCAAGUAGGUUGGAACUUGCGAAGGUGAAUCUAAAUGAAAGUCACAUGAUACAUGACGAGUUUUUUUAUCAAUGUUUCCUACAUUCAAAUUCAUUACAUUGCUCUCAGUCCCAGCCACCAAAGUUGCAAGAUCAUUCAUUAGAUCAUGCAUUUUGCAACUUUUUACAUUGCCAAACACAUCCCCUCUUAAUUCUUGGAAAAAGGAUCUCCAUGACAACUCCAUAAAAUACUCAACUGCUUUGUCUUCUAGACAUUCACUUGAAUACGAUGACUUAAUAAACCCUUGCCCAAUCCACAAAUGAAUCAAUGUUUUGACAUCAAUCUCAUAAUCUUUUGGAAAUAAACUACAAUAUGCAAAACAGUGCUUCAAGUGCGAAGGAAGAUAGUCAUAGCUCAACCUAAGUGUAGGUAAAAUACCAUUCUCAUUUUGA
This 997-nucleotide unclassified non-coding RNA is filed under the name Hevea brasiliensis (rubber tree). The record is from RNAcentral. Lineage: Eukaryota; Viridiplantae; Streptophyta; Magnoliopsida; Malpighiales; Euphorbiaceae.